GUGCCAGCAGCCGCGGUAAGACGAACCGUGCGAACGUUGUUCGGAAUCACUGGGCUUAAAGGGCGCGUAGGCGGCUUGCCAAGUCAGGGGUGAAAUCCAGCAGCUUAACUGUUGAAGUGCCUUUGAUACUGGCGAGCUCGAGGGAGGUAGGGGUCUGUGGAACUUCUGGUGGAGCGGUGAAAUGCGUUGAUAUCAGAAGGAACGCCGGUGGCGAAAGCGACGGACUGGACCUCUUCUGACGCUGAGGCGCGAAAGCUAGGGGAGCAAACGGGAUUAGAUACCCCCGUAGUCC
This 292-nucleotide ribosomal RNA is filed under the name uncultured bacterium. RNAcentral describes it as "partial 16S ribosomal RNA". It matches the Rfam family "Bacterial small subunit ribosomal RNA", at positions 505 to 796 of the family's 1533-position model. The record is from RNAcentral.